CAAUAGCGUAUAUUAAAGUUGUUGCAGUUAAAAAGCUCGUAGUUGGAUUUCUGGUUGAAGCGACCGGUCGGGCGUUGAUUCGUCUGCACUGGAGUCGGUUUUGGCCAUCCUCUAGGAAAGUGCGUCUGGUAUUAAGUUAUCGGGCGUAUGAUCCUGGUCUUUUACUGUGAAAAAAUUAGAGUGUUUAAAGCAGGCCUUCGCCUUGAAUACAUUAGCAUGGAAUAAUAAGAUAGGACUUUGGUCUAUUUUGUUGGUUUGCAGACCGAAGUAAUGAUUAAUAGGGAUAGUUGGGGGUAUUUAUAUUCCGAUGUCAGAGGUGAAAUUCUUAGAUUUUCGGAAGAUAAACUUAUGCGAAAGCAUUUACCAGGGAUGUUUNCAUUA
RNAcentral lists this ribosomal RNA (381 nucleotides) under uncultured eukaryote. Its description in RNAcentral is "partial 18S ribosomal RNA". It matches the Rfam family "Eukaryotic small subunit ribosomal RNA", at positions 592 to 975 of the family's 1831-position model. The record is from RNAcentral.